AGAAGAAGAAGAAGAAAAGAGAAAAUAAGACCUGGAGAUUUCUAGAAACAGGGGAACUUGGUUUCUUUCUUUAGAAUAGACAAAGAGUGUGGGAGAGGGGAGGCGCUCCUCUUUCACAAUACAGACUUUUCUCUUCUAUCACCUUAUUCCUCGAGUCCUAUCUUUCUUUCCUCAUUGAUUUGUGCAAUAAAAAAAAUGGAGAGUUUAAAAGGAAAUUUGUUAUGGUUCUCAGGGGGA
RNAcentral lists this unclassified non-coding RNA (237 nucleotides) under Hevea brasiliensis (rubber tree). Lineage: Eukaryota; Viridiplantae; Streptophyta; Magnoliopsida; Malpighiales; Euphorbiaceae. The record is from RNAcentral.